GUGCUCGCUUCGGCGGCACAUAUACUAAAAAUUGGAACCAUACAGAGAAGAAUAGCAUGGCCCCUGCGAAAGGAUGACACGAAAAUUUGUGAAGCAUUCCAUAUUUGG
Cricetulus griseus (Chinese hamster) is the source of this 108-nucleotide small nuclear RNA. The record is from Ensembl. NCBI's taxonomy places the organism in Eukaryota, Metazoa, Chordata, Mammalia, Rodentia, Cricetidae.